Molecule: long non-coding RNA, 1372 nt
Organism: Cannabis sativa
Lineage: Eukaryota; Viridiplantae; Streptophyta; Magnoliopsida; Rosales; Cannabaceae
Exons: 3
Source: RefSeq, a predicted model, not a curated record
UUGAACUGAUAUUAAAUAUUCGCUUAUACCAUCAAAAUUUGCACUGCCCACUUCGCCUUCUCUGCCUUUUGAUCGAUAUCAAACCUCAAAUCGACGUUUGAUGGUGGAGUGACAUAGAUGAGAGCAGGUUUUUAACUGUUCAUGUAUGGCUUAUUCUAACACAGAUAUCCAUGGAGAUGGUAGUGGUUGUGCUAUGUGGUUUGGUGACUUAAUUGAUAUUGAAUAAAUUCCUGGGGGUGGCCAAGAUGUAUACAUGCGAAUGCCAGCUUUAGAGUUAAGUAAGUAUAAACUUUAGCCUUAUAUUAUAUACUAUUAAGUGAGAUGUUUACAUUUAUUUGUUGUGUUUGUCCUACAAUUUCGCUUUAAUUUUCUUCUGUCUCGGGACGAUGACAAUAAAUAAAAAAAUUAGAAGCAAAAGGUGAUAGUAGAUUGUAAACAUUGAUCGCUGCAAGUGUUAUUGGAGCAGUUUGUGGGAUGAUAAUAGCUGGAUAUUUCAUUCGGAGAAGCUUAUUUACAGGUAAUUAUUGCUCAACAGAAGAAUAAUCCAUCUGAAUUAAUUUGAAAUCAGAAUGAGUGGCAGUGGAGAAGGUGAGUCCUUGGAGUAUACUCCCACAUGCUUUUGGCUUUGUUUUCGGUUUAUUGCGAUUCCUUGGCUCUUGCUGAGUCUCUUACUGUUGCUUUUCCUGUUUCUCGAGCUCCUGAGGUGAAUAGAGUUCAACGAACUCUUGUGGAGGCUUGGGGUUUGAUUAGAGAGACAUCUGUUGACCCAACAUUUAAUCAUCAAGAUUGGGAUCUGAAGUUGCAGCAGACAAUGGUGUAGAUGUUUCCCCUUAACUCAGAGUGGUUUUAGUGGUUUUAUUUCUUAUCUUUUUUUUAUUUAUUAUUUUUUUUUGUUAUUUAGCUUUUGUUUUAUUUUUUAUCUUUUUUUAUUUAUUAUUUAGUUCGCCAUAAAGAAUUUAAAAAUUAAAUAUCUAUGUAUUCCUUUUCCUAUUAUAAUUUGGAUAUUCUUAUUCUAAUUUAUAUCAGAGCUAGCUGAGAAUAAUAAUAUGUCAUCAAAAAACAUAUGAUGUUAUUGAAAUUAAGUUAAAAUAAAAAAAUAUACUAACAAUCUUAUUAUGCAUUUUACAGUGCUAUAGCAUAUGUUGAACUUGAUGACAAUACAAAGAGCCUAUCUGCUGUCAUGUUCGCAGAUAUUGUGAAAAAAAUAUUUUCGUGUAAUGCUGCCCAACUAAUGAAAUAUACUGCAGAGGUGUAGUUUUUAAAAAAUUAAAUAGUUUUACAUGCCUUUCAUAAGUUGAUUUUUUAAUUAAAUAAAUUAUGCACACCAUGUCUAAUCAUCUUAAAUGAAAAUACAUCACUGUUUGCAGGAACA